This is a long non-coding RNA of Odontomachus brunneus, 1490 nucleotides long. RefSeq lists it as uncharacterized. NCBI's taxonomy places the organism in Eukaryota, Metazoa, Arthropoda, Insecta, Hymenoptera, Formicidae. The record is from RefSeq and is a predicted model, not a curated record. The transcript has 2 exons.
AUUCGCGGCCUGUAAAUCAUCCUCACAGAAGUUUAUCGUACGCGUGUACGACGUGAGCUCGUCUCGUGUCGAUGUUGACAAACUAGACUUUCGUGUUGCAUCAUGGAGCUGUUUCAGUUUUCACUUUAGUAAGGUGGGAGAGACUAGAGAGAGAGGUGGCUGAGCUAAUUUCGCUACCGGGUUAAAUUGGCAAACUUGAUUAUUUCUACUGUUCUUUAACAGAUUUCGGAAUUGAGCAAGCAGAGAUUUCAAAGCCGUUUUUGACAUGUUUCAAAAACUUGCUUGCUUAAUUCUGUGACUUAUUAGAAAAUAGCAGAAAUCGUUGGUUUUGCCAACUUAUCUCGUAUCCAACUAUAGUUCCAGUCUCCUCUAUAAAUCUCUUCAUAGCGUUAGGUGUCUUAAUAUUGGAUUGUGUAAUAAGGAAUUUCGAAUGAAAUUAUUCAUCCAUUAUUUCGGGUAAAAUAUGUAAUGAUUGCUUUUAUAUGGUUAUGAUUUUAUGUAACAAUCCAGUUAAGCUUUCAUAAUUAUCAUAACAUGAGACAAUCGAUGAUGGAAACUUUGCAAGCCUUUUAAUUACGUUCAUGAGGUUGCGUACUUAAAGUUUACGCACAUCAGUCUAUCGGAGAAUGCUGGCGAAGGAUGCCAAGAAGUUUAAAACGGCGCCUACAAUCCCUAUUGACUUUCACGAUUAUCACAACGUAAAAUAAUGGAUGAUGAAAGCUUUAAGAUCUUUUAAAUAUAAUUCAUGAACCAAAUAUAUACCAAUACAUAUAUAUUGAAUUAAUUAUUGAAUUUACGUCAUACAAUACAACUUUUUCUGUCAUGUUGAUGCAUCGAGAACAUUCGCUAAAAGUUACAUUUUUAUAUUAAUUCACUAAAGGUUAUAUUUUCAUAUUAUAUUUUAUAUUUAUGUAUUUGAAGAAAAUUUUAAUAACGCAAUUUUAAUAACGUAUUUCUUUCGUAUUUUUAUUUCCUCGUUCGAUGCGAUAAAUAUGAACGUCGUACGGGCCUUCGACCUCACUCAUAAGGGAUGCAAGCUUUGCAAAUCGAUUAAUAAAAGAGAGAGAAGGCUGACGAGAGAGCAGGUCGCGGUUGUUGGUGCGAAUAUUCAAACUAUGAGAGGAUAAUAAUGUUUGAUAGUGCAAACUCACGUGCUGAAUAUUCGCACCAACAACCGCAGCCAGUUCUCUUUUUCUCUCUUCCAGCCGAUUGUAUACGUAAGAGUCGUGUUUAUAUAAUUUAUUCUUCCAAAACAUUGGCGGCAGAAAAACGUUUAUUUUAUUUUGAUCUAAUAUGAUCUAUAGACAUACUUGUGUUGUUUCGAGAUCUCGACAGAAUUGAUAUACUAUCCUACUCGGCAAAGGAAGAGGUUCGACUCUUGGCUGAGGCAAUAUCUUUCGCAACAUUUAAAGAGAAUUUUAAUAAAGAGUAUUAAAAGAAAAAAAAAAAAAAUAAAUGCGUAAUUAAUUAAUAGGAAUGGUAUAAUGGGA